UACGUAGGGGGCGAGCGUUGUCCGGAAUUACUGGGCGUAAAGCGCGCGCAGGCGGCCUGAUAAGUCAGGUGUGAAAUCUUAAGGCUCAACCUUAAGCGGUCACUUGAAACUAUCAGGCUUGAGGGCAGGAGAGGAGAGCGGAAUUCCUAGUGUAGCGGUGAAAUGCGUAGAUAUUAGGAGGAACACCAGUGGCGAAGGCGGCUCUCUGGUCUGCAACUGACGCUGAGGCGCGAAAGCUGGGGGAGCAAACGGG
Molecule: ribosomal RNA, 253 nt
Filed under: uncultured bacterium
Lineage: Bacteria
Description: partial 16S ribosomal RNA
Rfam family: Bacterial small subunit ribosomal RNA
Source: RNAcentral